RNAcentral lists this ribosomal RNA (468 nucleotides) under uncultured bacterium. RNAcentral's name for it is "partial 16S ribosomal RNA". It matches the Rfam family "Bacterial small subunit ribosomal RNA", at positions 28 to 507 of the family's 1533-position model. The record is from RNAcentral.
GACGAACGCUGGCGGCGUGCUUAACACAUGCAAGUCGAACGGAAAGGCCCUGCUUUUGUGGGGUGCUCGAGUGGCGACCGGGUGAGUAACACGUGAGUAACCUGCCCUUGACUUUGGGAUAACUUCAGGAAACUGGGGCUCAUACCGGAUAGGAGCUCCUGCUGCUUGGUGGGGGUUGGAAAGUUUCGGCGGUUGGGUAUGGACUCGCGGCUUAUCAGCUUGUUGGUGGGGUAGUGGCUUACCAAGGCUUUGACGGGUAGCCGGCCUGAGAGGGGGACCGGCCACGUUGGGACUGGGAUACGGCCCAGACUCCUACGGGAGGCAGCGGUGGGGAAGAUUGCACAAUGGGCGGAAGCCUGAUGCAGCGACGCCGCGUGCGGGAUGACGUCCUUCGGGUUGUAAACCGCUUUCGCCUGUGACGAAGCGUGAGUGACGGUAAUGGGUAAAGAAGCACCGGCUAACUACGUG